RNAcentral lists this ribosomal RNA (1495 nucleotides) under uncultured bacterium. RNAcentral's name for it is "16S ribosomal RNA". It matches the Rfam family "Bacterial small subunit ribosomal RNA". The record is from RNAcentral.
UAGAGUUUGAUCAUGGCUCAGGAUGAACGCUAGCGACAGGCUUAACACAUGCAAGUCGAGGGGCAGCGGGGAGGUAGCAAUACUUCCGCCGGCGACCGGCGCACGGGUGAGUAACACGUAUGGAACCUGCCCGUAGCAGGGGGAUAAACGGAAGAAAUUCCGUCUAAUACCGCGUAAUAACUCCGAGAGGCAUCUCAUGGAGUUUAAAGGGUAACACCGGCUACGGAUGGCCAUGCGGCGCAUUAGCUAGUUGGCGGGGUAACGGCCCACCAAGGCGACGAUGCGUAGGGGUUCUGAGAGGAAGGUCCCCCACACUGGUACUGAGACACGGACCAGACUCCUACGGGAGGCAGCAGUGAGGAAUAUUGGUCAAUGGGCGCGAGCCUGAACCAGCCAAGUCGCGUGAGGGAAGACGGUCCUAUGGAUUGUAAACCUCUUUUGUCGGGGAGCAAAAGACGCCACGUGUGGCGUUCCGAGAGUACCCGAAGAAAAAGCAUCGGCUAACUCCGUGCCAGCAGCCGCGGUAAUACGGAGGAUGCGAGCGUUAUCCGGAUUUAUUGGGUUUAAAGGGUGCGCAGGCGGAAGAUCAAGUCAGCGGUAAAAUUGAGAGGCUCAACCUCUUCGAGCCGUUGAAACUGGUUUUCUUGAGUGAGCGAGAAGUAUGCGGAAUGCGUGGUGUAGCGGUGAAAUGCAUAGAUAUCACGCAGAACUCCGAUUGCGAAGGCAGCAUACCGGCGCUCAACUGACGCUCAUGCACGAAAGUGUGGGUAUCGAACAGGAUUAGAUACCCUGGUAGUCCACACAGUAAACGAUGAAUACUAAUUGUUCGGGGAGAAUGAUCCCUGAGUGAUACAGCGAAAGCGUUAAGUAUUCCACCUGGGGAGUACGCCGGCAACGGUGAAACUCAAAGGAAUUGACGGGGGCCCGCACAAGCGGAGGAACAUGUGGUUUAAUUCGAUGAUACGCGAGGAACCUUACCCGGGCUCAAACGACACAGGAAUACUUUUGAAAGGAGGUAGCUCUACGGAGUCUGUGUCGAGGUGCUGCAUGGUUGUCGUCAGCUCGUGCCGUGAGGUGUCGGCUUAAGUGCCAUAACGAGCGCAACCCCCAUCGCCAGUUACCAGCAAGUCAAGUUGGGGACUCUGGCGAGACUGCCGGCGCAAGCUGUGAGGAAGGCGGGGAUGACGUCAAAUCAGCACGGCCCUUACGUCCGGGGCGACACACGUGUUACAAUGGCAGGUACAGAGAGAAGCAAUGCGGCGACGCAAAGCGGAACUUGAAAGCCUGUCUCAGUUCGGAUUGGAGUCUGCAACUCGACUCCAUGAAGCUGGAUUCGCUAGUAAUCGCGCAUCAGCCAUGGCGCGGUGAAUACGUUCCCGGGCCUUGUACACACCGCCCGUCAAGCCAUGGAAGCCGGGAGUGCCUGAAGUGUGCAACCGCAAGGAGCGCCCUAAGGUAAAACUGGUGACUGGGGCUAAGUCGUAACAAGGUAACC